Zalophus californianus (California sea lion) is the source of this 428-nucleotide long non-coding RNA. RefSeq lists it as uncharacterized. NCBI's taxonomy places the organism in Eukaryota, Metazoa, Chordata, Mammalia, Carnivora, Otariidae. The record is from RefSeq and is a predicted model, not a curated record. The transcript is spliced from 4 exons.
GCCGGAAGUGACCCGCCGCCGUGGUUGGGACCUGGCGGGAGGCGACGGCGAGACGUGGCCGAAUGAAAAAAGAACUUUUGAAGUGGAAGGACAACCUUAGUGUGUCAAACCCAUGUGUACAUGAAAUCCAUUUGUGAUGCACGGACUGGGUAGAAAGAAGGAAGAGAGCCAUGUACCCCGACAGAGUUUAAAGACCCAGAAGGCCAGCUUUGAAGAAAACCUGGAAAAAAGGAGAAUCCCGAGUCUUCCCUGUGGUACAGGAGACACAGAAACGGCAGAAGGGUAUGGAUCAGUAUUUACUCAACAGGGCACAUGAAAUGCGAUGAACAGAGGACAACAAUUAAGAUGAUAAAAUGUUCACAAUAUUCAGUGAAAUACAACAAAGAGAGACUGGCCUUUGUUUAAAAUCCCCAUAAAGGAUCCUGCUU